ACCAUAUGGCUGUAUAUGAAAUGCAAGCAAAUUAGUUUGUCUGAUAUUAAGGAGACAACCAAUGGUAUGUAAUGGGUUGUAAUUACAGAGAAAUUAGGAUAAGAAAUGAGGGUAAGCAGAUUGUUAAGGUAGCUAUAUAAAAUAUAGAGGUUAAGUUGGAAACUUUACUGCUGCACAAUCUCUUAAUACUAAACAAAGCCACAUUUUUUAUGAUACUACAAUGAAAAUAUUAAUAAAUAUUUCUUUAAAAAUUCCUCCAGUUAACAUAAAGUUCAAAAUACUCUGGUCACUUCAGAGCUAAUAAAAUCUAAAAAUAAAGGAGGAAUAGAAAUGUUUUUCUUUCAACCUCUGAGCUUUUUGCAUUGAGUAGGUGGAUUAGCAUCAAAUGGCAUUGCUCUGUCCCUCCUCUUAAUAAGCUGCUGUUCUCAAUUUAGUUUUUCAAAUGAUUGAAUUAACUUUACUAUAGGUGAUAAAAAAGCAGAGGGAAAAAUGAGGAAAAUGUGAAGGAUGGGAGAGACAAACAAAAGGGUUCUAGGAUUGUAUAGAACAGUAAAAGGAUUUAAUCAUAUAGAGUAAGUGCUAUAACAUUUUAAAAAAUUUUAAGAAGCAUUUACAAAUGAUGGCCGUAAAAGAUUUGUGGAAAUGUUGUAAAUAACAUCUUCCAUUUACUUAUUGUAAAAUAAUUCGUUGUUAAAAUGUACCAUUACAUUAUUUUAAAACAAAUUUAUCUCAGAUUGAAAACAGACUAACAUGUAGAAUAAAUUAAGGAAUGUUGUGAAUAUUUAAAUCAAGCCAUAAAUGGCAAGAGAUUUUUUUUUCAAAAUUAAAAUAUUAAAUUUAAUAACUUUAAUAAUUUCUGAGGUUUGUGUUUUAGUUAAAAGCAGGAGACUCAUCAUGAAAAGAUGCUUGAGAGUAUAAUUUUAAACCAUUAGUCCACUACAUUUAACUGAGCAUCUUCUAUAAUAGAAAUUCACUGUGAUAGAUGCCUGAACACAAAUACUAAUGGUGCAAGAUUAGGUGAGAAGAGUGACAUAAAGGCAACUAUAUGAGUUAGCAGAAGGAAGGAUUAUAGUCAACUGGAAAUGUUUAAAAAUUUCUGUAUUUGAGAUAAGUCCUGAAGUAUAGACAGAAGUGUGCAGUCAAGAAAUUGUAUAUUGACAUAGAGCUGGUGUUUGGCAGAGUUCAUGCGCUUGUGUGUGUGUGUGUGUGUGUGUGUGUGUACAUGUGUGUGUUUACAUAUGAAUGUAUACAUAAGUGUAUAUCAAACAUGUGUCUUGUAAAUAGUAUAAUACAUUAUAUAUGUAUAUGUAUGUAUAUACAUGUAUGCAUGCAUAUAUCAGGGAAUUUAAUGUAUCUUUUAAAAAGUCUAAGUUCUCUUUUACAUUCCAAUAAAUCAAUGUAAAAACCAUACUCUAGAAACAUUGCCUAUGUAGAAUUUUGUUUAAAUUAUCUCUUCCCAUUCAGAAUGUUACUGAAAGUUACAUGAGUGAAUGAGCUUACCUAGAGGUAGAGAUAAAACAAAGCAGUUGAUACUUUCUUCUGCCAUUGAAUAAGCAUUAAACAAAAUGCAAUUUUGUCUUUUUCCUCCUUCAGGCUUUUACUCUUGAUUAAGUCAUAAAAAGGACAGUUUCUCUCUUGGUUGUCCUAUGUUGGCAAGGUACAGGUUCUGUGACAAGUUUUCUCAGGGUCCAUUUUUACUUCUGUCAUUGCUCAGGAGACAAUAAGUUACUUCCUGUACAGAGUAAACUUUUCAAAGCUCAUAAGGAAUAACAUAGUUUUCUGUAUACUUGAAAAUAAUAGUUGAAAUUUCAAAAUUAAACCCUAUGGUGUAUUUUACUCUUAAUGUAUUGAAAUGUAUGUAAACAUGUAUUUAAAUAAGGAAGAUGACCAUUCAUGUGAGAUGUCUUUCUUUAAAGUAGAUGUUGCUGAGAAAAGAAAGGCAGAAGCCAGCCAGUCUCAAGAUGCACAGUAAACUAAUUUUUCCACCAUGACAUGGCACAUGGAAAAUAUGGCAUAUGUAUACUCUUCCGGAUGUUUUUCUUUAAAAAAAAAAAAUUAUUUUGAAAUAAUGUCAACCUUACAGAAAAAGAUACAAAAUUUGCUCCAGGAAUUUCUGUAAACAUUAUGUUAAUUAUUUCAUUUUAUUUUUCAGCCCCCAAAUUUAGCAACUUAAAACAACAAGCAUUUAUUAUCUUACACAGUGUCUGAGUCUGGAAGCACUUCAGCUGAGUGAUUCUGGUUUAGGGUUUCUCAUGAAGUUGUAAACAAGAUGUUGACUGGGGCUGCCUUCAUUUGAAGAACCUGGAGAAUCUGCUUUCAAGCACUCAUGGCUAUUGACAAGAGGCUUUGGUUCCUUGAUUUGACACAAGGACUUUUCUGUAGGACUACUCAUGGGACAGAGAAGCUAGCUUUCUGGAGAGAAGAGAUGGGGGAAUGGAGAGGGGUUAAGGGAGAGAAGAGAGAGCUAGAGAGAGAUACCUUUUACUUCCUUUCUGUCUUACUCUUUUUCAUAGAAGCAAAUUGCUAUAUCAAGGCCAAACUGAAAGGGAAAUGGCCCUUUACUUCUUGAAGGAAUAAGUAUCAAAGUAUGCACAUAUUUUCAAAGCCACCAACCCAGAUUACCCAAAUUUUAAUAUUUUAUUCCAUUUUUUUUCAUUCUCUUGGCUUCCCUUAUUAUUUACAUUUGGGGUGAGGGAAAACUUUUGAAAAAAAAAUAUCCUACUCUUGGACUAAUCCAUAAUUUUCAUUGCAUUUAAUUAUCAUAGUUUUUCCUCUUUUUUAUUUCUUUUUCCUUCUCUUCCCUUUUUUUCUUCCAUCUUUUUCUUUCUCCAUUGCUCCCUCUUUUCCCUCCCUCCCUCCUUUCCUCUUCCCUCCCUCUCUUCCUCCUUCCUUCCUUCUUUCUUUCCUUCUUUUUUCAUUUUUUGUUAUCAUUUAAAUUAGAACAGUACCUUAGAUUUUCUUAUUUUAUGUGACCUUAACCCUUUGAAAAGUAAAAAACAUUUAUUUUCCACAUUGUUCUUCAGUUCUUCUCUGUCUGAAUAUUUCUUAUAAUUUAAUACUGGCGAUGUGUAAUUUUUGGCGGAAAUACCAUAUGUGUGAGUCUCUGUACCCCUCAGAGCAUCGUAUCAGUAGGUACUUGUCUGUCUCUCUAAAUAUUACUACCUUUAAUAACUUGGUUAAAAUUGUGCCUGCCAGGUUUCUCUGCUUUUAUUUUUUUUUUCCUUCAUAGACAAUAAGUAUCUCGUAGGGAGAUUCUUUGAGUUUAUGUAAAUAUAUUGUUUCUCAUUAGUGUUUUAUUUUAGCAUGUUUGUUUUUGCCUGAAGGAUUAGUACCGUGGUGAUUUUCCAAUGAUAUUUGACUAUGUAUACUUAGGCUAAAUAUUUAUAAAAAAUAUAAAUGGUAAACUGUAGUUAGUAGAUUUUUUUUCUUGGUGGUAUAAGUAGGCAAUUAUGCAUGAGAACAUUUAGGAUUAAGAAAACAAGUAAAGAUAUCAUGUGUAAGAGGAUCCAUGCUUCUCAUUUUAAAGAAGAGAAUUACAAGUGCAGAAAGGGAGGAGGAUGAGAUAUACUCUGUGUAUGAGUAUCUACACAUGUUUUUCUUGGCUCGUUUCUCUAGAGGGUCUCAAGUCAGAGAUCCCAUUAGCAAUGAGCAUAUUUAGCCCCUAGAACCCAUAUUUUAGUUCUAAACCAACUAAAAGUAAGCAGAUUUGUUAGAAAAAUUGCUGACUUCAGGGCUAUGCUGGCAAAGUACCAAAGGACUAAAAUAUCUUGCCAUGUUAGAAAUAAAGAAAUGCUCAAAGAAUGAUGGAAGCACAUUGGAAGUAUACAAGAUCCAGCUUUAAGAGCCUUCCAGUGACCAAGUUAUGAGUACUUUGAGUAUAAAAAUUCACAAUUGUGGUAAUAGAUUAUUGCACAUAAAAUUAUUAAAUAAUUCUUAAAUAAAUAAAUGUAGAGAAGGGAAUGCUAUUACACCAAACUGAAAGCUAGGGGAAUGAGACCCUUUUAUAUUUUAAUAAGCCCUACAAAAUACACUUGGUAGAUUAAGCAAUUUAAUAAUUUGUGUUCACUUCAGCUAUGAGUGAUGAAUUACCCUGGGAUCGGGUUUUAUCCUGGAGAAAAUUCGCUGCAGGUAUUGUGCAAUUCUCAGCUUGUUGGUUUUCUUCCACAACCAUUAACCACAUAUGAACAUUAGUAAAACUGUCAUGAUAAGGGGAUAACCUUUAGUCACAGUAAAUUAUUUUAUUGUAUAUGUUUUGAACCCAUGUGUAAACUCUUCAUUAAUAACAUAUGAAAAACGCCUUGCACAAGGGCCUUCAUACUAUGUAUAAGACUUGAAUCUAGAUAAAAGCUACAAUUCUCAUUUCACUUAAAAUAGAAAAUCUGAUAAAUGCUGUUAUUUCUUUGCUGACAAUUUUAUCUUUGAAAAGUGAAAAAAGGUUAAGGGAACUGCUUCUAUGAACAAUUAUCACAAAAAAGGAAGUGAUGGUUGGUGACGUGAAAGUGAUGGAAACAGUUAGAGAUACUAAUCGUAUCAUUAAACUGUCUGAAACAGCUGUGAAAGGUAAUAUUCAUCAUUGUCAGGCUUGCACAAUAAAUUUGAGGCAAGAACAUUGUAAGAUUUU
Molecule: long non-coding RNA, 4621 nt
Filed under: Sus scrofa (pig)
Lineage: Eukaryota; Metazoa; Chordata; Mammalia; Artiodactyla; Suidae
Description: lncRNA (ENSSSCG00060076315.1)
Source: RNAcentral